AUUGAACGCUGGCGGAAUGCUUUACACAUGCAAGUCGAACGGCAGCACGGACUUCGGUCUGGUGGCGAGUGGCGAACGGGUGAGUAAUACAUCGGAACGUGCCCAAUCGUGGGGGAUAACGUAGCGAAAGCUACGCUAAUACCGCAUACGAUCUAAGGAUGAAAGCGGGGGAUCGCAAGACCUUGCGCGAUUGGAGCGGCCGAUGGCAGACUAGGUAGUUGGUGGGGUAAAGGCUCACCAAGCCGACGAUCUGUAGCUGGUCUGAGAGGACGACCAGCCACACUGGGACUGAGACACGGCCCAGACUCCUACGGGAGGCAGCAGUGGGGAAUUUUGGACAAUGGGCGAAAGCCUGAUCCAGCCAUGCCGCGUGCAGGAUGAAGGCCUUCGGGUUGUAAACUGCUUUUGUACGGAACGAAAAGGUUUGGCCUAAUAAGCUGAGCUCAUGACGGUACCGUAAGAAUAAGCACCGGCUAACUACGUGCCAGCCGCCGCGGUAA
This 500-nucleotide ribosomal RNA is filed under the name uncultured bacterium. RNAcentral describes it as "partial 16S ribosomal RNA". It matches the Rfam family "Bacterial small subunit ribosomal RNA", at positions 30 to 523 of the family's 1533-position model. The record is from RNAcentral.